AGAGUUUGAUCCUGGCUCAGGACGAACGCUGGCGGCGUGCCUAAUACAUGCAAGUCGAACGAACUCUGGUAUUGAUUGGUGCUUGCAUCAUGAUUUACAUUUGAGUGAGUGGCGAACUGGUGAGUAACACGUGGGAAACCUGCCCAGAAGCGGGGGAUAACACCUGGAAACAGAUGCUAAUACCGCAUAACAACUUGGACCGCAUGGUCCGAGUUUGAAAGAUGGCUUCGGCUAUCACUUUUGGAUGGUCCCGCGGCGUAUUAGCUAGAUGGUGGGGUAACGGCUCACCAUGGCAAUGAUACGUAGCCGACCUGAGAGGGUAAUCGGCCACAUUGGGACUGAGACACGGCCCAAACUCCUACGGGAGGCAGCAGUAGGGAAUCUUCCACAAUGGACGAAAGUCUGAUGGAGCAACGCCGCGUGAGUGAAGAAGGGUUUCGGCUCGUAAAACUCUGUUGUUAAAGAAGAACAUAUCUGAGAGUAACUGUUCAGGUAUUGACGGUAUUUAACCAGAAAGCCACGGCUAACUACGUGCCAGCAGCCGCGGUAAUACGUAGGUGGCAAGCGUUGUCCGGAUUUAUUGGGCGUAAAGCGAGCGCAGGCGGUUUUUUAAGUCUGAUGUGAAAGCCUUCGGCUCAACCGAAGAAGUGCAUCGGAAACUGGGAAACUUGAGUGCAGAAGAGGACAGUGGAACUCCAUGUGUAGCGGUGAAAUGCGUAGAUAUAUGGAAGAACACCAGUGGCGAAGGCGGCUGUCUGGUCUGUAACUGACGCUGAGGCUCGAAAGUAUGGGUAGCAAACAGGAUUAGAUACCCUGGUAGUCCAUACCGUAAACGAUGAAUGCUAAGUGUUGGAGGGUUUCCGCCCUUCAGUGCUGCAGCUAACGCAUUAAGCAUUCCGCCUGGGGAGUACGGCCGCAAGGCUGAAACUCAAAGGAAUUGACGGGGGCCCGCACAAGCGGUGGAGCAUGUGGUUUAAUUCGAAGCUACGCGAAGAACCUUACCAGGUCUUGACAUACUAUGCAAAUCUAAGAGAUUAGACGUUCCCUUCGGGGACAUGGAUACAGGUGGUGCAUGGUUGUCGUCAGCUCGUGUCGUGAGAUGUUGGGUUAAGUCCCGCAACGAGCGCAACCCUUAUUAUCAGUUGCCAGCAUUAAGUUGGGCACUCUGGUGAGACUGCCGGUGACAAACCGGAGGAAGGUGGGGAUGACGUCAAAUCAUCAUGCCCCUUAUGACCUGGGCUACACACGUGCUACAAUGGAUGGUACAACGAGUUGCGAACUCGCGAGAGUAAGCUAAUCUCUUAAAGCCAUUCUCAGUUCGGAUUGUAGGCUGCAACUCGCCUACAUGAAGUCGGAAUCGCUAGUAAUCGCGGAUCAGCAUGCCGCGGUGAAUACGUUCCCGGGCCUUGUACACACCGCCCGUCACACCAUGAGAGUUUGUAACACCCAAAGUCGGUGGGGUAACCUUUUAGGAACCAGCCGCCUAAGGUGGGACAGAUGAUUAGGGUGAAGUCGUAACAGGGUAACC
RNAcentral lists this ribosomal RNA (1528 nucleotides) under Lactiplantibacillus plantarum subsp. plantarum. Its description in RNAcentral is "Lactobacillus plantarum subsp. plantarum 16S ribosomal RNA". It matches the Rfam family "Bacterial small subunit ribosomal RNA". Lineage: Bacteria; Bacillati; Bacillota; Bacilli; Lactobacillales; Lactobacillaceae. The record is from RNAcentral.